This 6121-nucleotide long non-coding RNA is filed under the name Sus scrofa (pig). RNAcentral describes it as "lncRNA (ENSSSCG00000061862.1)". Lineage: Eukaryota; Metazoa; Chordata; Mammalia; Artiodactyla; Suidae. The record is from RNAcentral.
CAUCACAAGGUAGAGUAAUAAAUUCUUAAACAGGAGGAUAUGUGAGCACUGAGCAAGGGCACCAACUUCUGAAGUGUGUAAAGGAACGCUUCCCUUGGUAAGUGAGUCUAGAUUUACAGAGAGAUCAUGAGCUUCUCUGCAGAGCAGCUACUUAAAUAAAUUAUCCCCUAGGAACCUUUUAAUUAUUUUAUAAUUAUUGAUUGUUUAUUGAUAGAUUAACUAUAGUUUCACAAUGUAAUUGGCUAUUUUAUAAACUAACAGGAUAUUUGAAGAACUUUGUUGUACAACAGAUUGUACAACAAAGGGAGUUGGUUUUUAUUCUGUCUGUUUUGUUUUGAAAAAGGCCAGCUACCUAGUUAACAAGACACUUGAAGUUAAUCUGACUUUUAUUUGUUCAAUUUCCAUAAUGAAACUGACGGUUUGGAGCACAUAUAUAUAUUUCUCUUUUUUUCCUCUUUCAAAUAAACUAGACCUUUUCCAAAGAAUUGUUUGUAUAAUAAGAUGGACUAGAAUGAUUUCUAGAUCACAAAAUCUCAUCUUACAUCUGACUUAAGGGAUUGGGAAGUGUAAGCACAAGAUGCAAUAAUUCCUACUAGAAGCAACAACUCUCAUUUUGGCUUCCUCUCCCCAUUAUGACACCAGCCAAGCCCUUGUAACUGAGUAGGAGAGACCUCACAAGUACUAAGUCGGGGGCGGGGGUGGUGAGAGCUCACCACUGUUAGCAAUGAACCAUAACCAUCUUAGUUCUCCCCCUCUCCCAAGUGCCCCAGCUUAAAGUAGGACUGCAUAUGGCCUUCAGUCCCUCAUGGGCACAGGGAGACCUUGGACUCACCUUCAACUCAGUGAUGUCUCCCCUUAACUCAGUGGAAGCAGGAGUGCAGCUGGAGGAACAUAUCACUGGACACAGAGAGCAGCUCCAAUCAGUAAGCAACAUGGUGGUUGUGUGCAGCUCAGCCAAUAAGAUCCUAAUAUUUUGACUGCUUCAAAAUCCAUAGGUCAUCAUUCUGAACACCAUGUAUUUCACCUCUAUGAGCCUCAUGACUCAGCAGCCCUGGCCAAAAACAUAGUGCUUUCCUCUAGAACCACAGCCUUUGCCCCCUCUCGCAAUCCUGAAUUUGGGGACCGCAGAGAAGCAGAUUAACCUGAUCCAUCUCCUGUCUUACUAGCAUGACAGCAUUUUCUAAAGCCAUGCCUGGUUUCAAUUUAAGGGCCGGGGGAUUUCCCAGAGUAGUCAGGUUGAUGUAAGAAUUUAUCUAGAUUUCUAAAAUUCAGUUUCUCCCUUGCCAAUGGGUCACCUUCGUUAGCACUGCAAACAAUCCAGAGGACUAAGUUAAUAGCUGGCCAUUGAUGGUUUUACAGUGGAAUCUGUCAUUUCUCAGAAAUCUUCCUGAGAGGGUCAAAGUUUCCUUAGAGCCCUAGAACUCACUUCAAAAAUAUCUGAGACAAUUUACUCUAACGGGUGCAUAGAUCUAAGGCUGGCCAACAACUGCAGAGAGGAUGAGCAAUGGCAUACCUGUUGCCAUUCUUCUAUAAAAGGCAGUAAGCCCUCUCUGGUCUUUCAACGGAACUGGCCAAAAUUGUCAUAAUGCACCUGAUUACUGCCCAUAGUGGCUACAAGCUUCUGUCUCUUCUCACUCAGCAUGGGUACUCAUCUGUUUAAUUUUUUCUGAAAUGAGUUAUUACUUUACCUCCUCAUAUCAGUUCCAAGAGUACUAGUUGAAUCUUAGUAAUGCCAUUAAAGCAGGUAAACCUGAGACAACCUGAAAGAUUGGUGAGGAAAUGCUCUGCCCUCAAAGGGAGGCAGAAGAAGCAGGGCAACCUCAGGCAGUUGUCUUUGAGACUACUUCUUAGUAGGUGAGCAGUAACAGUAGGAUAUUUAUGACCUGAUUUACCAUACAUUUUGGUCAAUAUGUUUAUUGCCAAUGUUCACGGAUUUUCCUCAAACUAUAUUAACCAACCCAUGAGGUUCUCACCCAUCCUCUCAGAAGUCCAUGUUCCUCCCCAGCAAUCCCCCAUUCCCCAUCACCAGACCCUUUAAGAAUUGUGAUGAGACAGAGAUUCACCUCUACCUGCUGGCCAGCACAGGAGGUCACUGCAGCUCCAUCCAUGUCCACAGGGGACAAGAGCCUUCUGGGUCAGAGACCAGGGACACUAUUACACAUACCUACAGUCAUAUCCAAAUACUGUGCCAAUUCUCAGAGCUCUAUUUCCCAGAGGGUGUCAGGAAGAGGGCCAGGGACACCUCCACAUACAGUGGGAUAUAUUCCAGAGAAAGAACUUGGAAUCUCUUGUCAGAUGACUGACUGUCCUUUGCUCCAGAAGGAGACACUACCUUCAUUAUACUGGUCAGUAAGCAUGCCCAGCAUUUGACCUCCCAUGGCUGUGUCAUCCUAUCAGUUCAGUGUGGUACUGAGCAGACCCUCCUCUCCUCAAUAAUGGUGUCACCUUACCUAUAUUUCUCAAUGAAGGUAAAUGCCAUGCCUCAAAUGCUCUGUCAAGUUGGCCUUAUUCUUAACUUAUUAACUUUUGCCCUCAUCUCUUGUAACAACCAACUGUAAGGUGAUUUUGUUUCAAAAUAUUUGCCUAACAUGAUAUUAGCAAGUGCUAUAAGAUCCUAUUCCUCUCAAAAAUGUAAAAUGAGAAAUAUGGAAAAAGUUUUGAAUCAACUGGUAGUAGAAAAAGAAGAAAUAAAAUACAAAAAUACAAAAGAUAUACAUACACUAAAGAAACUCAUGAAUGUUUGUGUGUGUGUGUGCUGUCACAGAGAAAGCAAGGAAGAGGGGGAAGGACGGGAAUGGAGGAGGAGAGAGAGGCAAAAAGAGAUAAAAGCCUCCAAUAUAAGGACAAUAGGAAAUGAGAUUCUAGAACUGCGUUGAAUUUUUUUUUGGUUCCUGGUUUUCAUUUACCUUAGAUUCAGUGUUUGGUGACAGAUCAGACUCCCUAAAAUUUUGAUUUUCCUUAUUAUUCUUCAAAUGACUUUCUAGCAUAUGAGAUUAAUUAAUAAGCCACUAUUUUGUAUAGGAAAAAAAGAGUCUAAUAUUGAUGGAUAUCCUGGAAUUACCUUGCUUUGAAUUAUAUUCUAACAAAAGUUGUUUUACUAAAAUAGACUUUACCAGGGUGGGAGUAUUAAAUGGAAGUUGGGCAAGUUUGUUUACACCAUACACUUUAUAUAGCAUACAUAUAAAAAAUUCUCCAUUAAAUAUUAUUUUUUUUUCAAAAUCCCUUGUGUUUGCAUAGCAAGUAUUUUUUUUUCUUCCGGUUUUCUUUCCAAUUUGUAACCUUUCUUGUUUAUUUUUAGUUCUGUCCUAGAUUUUCCACUUAAAUACAUCACGUUCUUUUCUUUGUCAUUUGGACCAUUGAGUUCUUACUCAGUUCCUAAUCCCAAUACUUGGUUAGCAAAAUUCUUAUUAGCCAGACAAAGAUGUCUCUAUAUUCCUUUCAGAAGGCAGAUGAAAAGCCAUUAGUAUUAACAAAUUAACGGCCAUUAGUCGUGUGGUCUUAUAGACAACCAAAGCAUUUUGUCACCAUAUUUCUUCCUAAACCAUACUUUUCUCUCAAACAGGAAUUUUGGAGCAGAGUGCUUUUAAUUCCUUUAUUUAUAAAUAUACAUUCAGUUUUGAAUUUUUAAUGAGAACAUAUCAUAUAGUUUAUUUUGUAAUGAAAAAAAUAAAAUUGUAAAGUCUGCAGGGAGUACUUCAAAAGAAGUCAACUCAAUGUACUGAGUAGAAUGAGAAAAAUAUUCCUCCAUCAGUUUCAUACCUUCAUAACAAGGUAAAAAUGAGUAAGACCGAAUAGGAGACCUUAGGAAAUAUACUAAUGCUGAGACUAUCUUAGAAAGAUAUAUUUGAACUAUGAGAGAAAACAACCAUCUGGUGGGAUUUCUCCCCAGGGAGAAAAGUGUUACUACUGUUAUAAAAUAGUUUAUAGGAAAAAUUGAAUAAUAAGAAAAUGAUUUAUUUCAGUGUUGCCUAGGCUACUUAUGUGUUUCAACUGUCUUAACAACCAAAUAUCAGACAUGAAAAAGGGAGGAAACUUGUCCCUUUGAUUUGGGUGUCUGGAUGGAAAGGAAGAGGAAUGAUUAGCAUUAUUUUCAUAUACUAAUCUCCCUCCCUAAAAUCUACUAUUAAAAAAAUCUUACCAUCUAGGCAAGCAUAUCCUCUUGAACAGACCCUGACCAUUUGUGGUUAUAAUUUUUUAUUCUGUGCCUAAUUCUAGUGAAGCAUACAGGUUACUUAAAACACACACACACACACACACACACACACACGCACACUAGCUCUGUAGAUUACAGUUGCUGCCAAGUUCAAAUCUAAUCUCUGUGUUACUCUGAGAAGGAGUUUUUAGGGUGGAAAUAGGUAUGCAAAAUAAUCAUUGGGUAAAUACCUAUGAAAAGUAAAGGGUAGGGGAUGGAAAGUCAAGGGAAGCCUCAGACUACUUCUCUUUGAAAAGAAAGAGAGAAGGAAGAAGUGGUUAGAAAGCUUCAGACCACAGCACGGUUCCCAGAAAAUUUUUAUCAGAUAUCUGGAAAGUACUUUUGGGAGUAAACUGAGCAGAGGUUGCUGUUGGAUGAGUCCCUUGUUGGGAAGGAGUGGGCCCCACCUACCCUCCUGCUCUGACCCAUCAUCACUGGCUGGGAAGAGACCAGGCUGCAGCUUUAACUGGAGGCCUCCAGAAGCAGGUGGAAGAGAUAAGAGGGGAGCACUUUCAUGUCCACCACAACUUAUGUCAACAGUUCUCUCUAACCUGUUCUGUUUAUCAUAUAAACUAAGACUCCAUUGUGUGAUCUUCUAGCCUCCUCUGCUUCUUGAUUUCCAGGGAUGUCCCUUCCUUGCUUCUGUUUACACUAAAACAAUAUGAAUCUUAGUCCUUAACUUCCCUUUCAGCUAUGAAAAUCAUUCACAUGAAGCAUUUGCGGGUUUCACAGACUUCAUACAGAGCAUUUUAAUAGUCAUAAAGAAGUUUCACUUUUUAUAACAGUGUCUGUGGGACAUCCCCCUGCCCAUCAUAACUUUUCCCUACCUCCCCACUUUUAAUCACCUCCCUCCAGGUUGGGGCUCUACAUUCUCCCACCUCAAGUAUACUAUCUCCUCUCCACGGUACAAACCACAAAAGGACCAAUGGGAGCUCAAAUUCAAUCCAGAGCAAUUAUUAAAUUAUGCUACUCAGGAAACACUUUUUUUUUCCUAAGAGGACCUCUGUAAGAACUGCUAAUAGAAUAUACUAUCACUUUCACCCAGAGCCUUGUAACUUGAGAAUUUUAGUCAUACUCAUCAUUUUCACUCCAUAAACUGGGUUCAAUAGCAUGUCUAAUUCAAACUCUUAUUCAGAGUUUAGAGAGUUUCAGGUAUGAGAUGCAUAUGAAAGCAGAGAUAAGUGUACUUUUCGUUGCUCAUUUUGGCCUUGAAAUAAUUAUUGUACAAAUUAAAUUUUCAUUUCCAAAUCUAAGACCUCUUACUCUAUUCCAAAUAGCAGACAUCUUACUCCCCGAUGUUGAGUAUGUUUUGCUGCUAUUGCUGCCUCAAACAAAUAACACACACAAAAUAAUAAGAACGAGAUUCAACAAUCCUGUUGGUGUGUCAGGGAGGAGAGCAGUAGUCCUCUCCAGCCAUGAGAGAUUUGUAACAACUAAGAGUCCUGAUGGUUGCUUGGCAACCACCAUGCUAUUGAAGCAGUGCACCUGUGGCAUAUUCACGUUUUAAUUGUUCUGUGAUACAGAAAGUCUUUCCUGGACGAAGAUUUAAAAAUCCACAGUUUUUUAAUCUAAGUGAAUUAUUAUACAAAGUCAUAAAAAAAUAAAGCUUCUCACCUUUUCCUAUUGUUCUUCUUGAGUGACAGGGCUGUCGUGCUCCUUCCCUUGGAAAGUCAAAACAAGCAGUGUUAGGGUGAGACUGUGCCAGGCAAAGAAAGAGGCAGUAACAGAUUCCUUAGCUGCUUACUGUUUUCUAAACCAAAUGUUCUUGUUUCUCAGAGGGAAGAGGGGGCAAAGUGCUUGAUGGUGGAUGAGACCUCUCCAGCCAGAAAGAUAUAAGAACCUGGUAGAGUGCUAAACUGUACUCUUACUAUCUCACAGGUCAUAAAAUAGGGAAGACAGAAUACCUUGAAACAUUUUAUUUAAUAAUAU